GGAAACUGAUGGACUAUUUGGGCUGGAGACUGGUUUCAAUAAUAGUGCCAGUGGGCUGCCAAGGAAGCCAUAUUAAGCUGUGAAAUACUGAGGGAAUGGAAGAGGAAGAUGCUUAGGAUUCACACUUGGACCAUUCACUGUUCGUAAAGUAACAAAUUCAGAAAGAGUAAAAAAGAGGAAAGAAAGAGGAAAAUAAAGGAGAAAUCAUGAAGGGCAAAAGAAUGAGAAGAGAUGAGAAGGGCACACAAUUAACAGAAGUUUUAAAUAAACUAGUUUAAGAAUUUUAAUGAUCCCAUCAUACAAAGGGAAGCAGCAGGUGUGGCAAAACCAGGGAAAGAAAAUCCAGUGCCACAUCUGUAAGAUCUGCCCAAAAAAU
Molecule: long non-coding RNA, 376 nt
Filed under: Anas platyrhynchos platyrhynchos (common mallard)
Lineage: Eukaryota; Metazoa; Chordata; Aves; Anseriformes; Anatidae
Description: lncRNA (ENSAPLG00000020127.1)
Source: RNAcentral